UAUUACCGCAAUCUAUUACCAUGCAGUCGUACCAGUAACAGCGCUGCUAUACGGAUGCUGACGAGUGGCGAACGGGUGAGUAAUACAUCGGAACGUGCCCGAUCGUGGGGGAUAACGAGGCGAAAGCUUUGCUAAUACCGCAUAAGAUCUAUGGAUGAAAGCAGGGGACCGCAAGGCCUUGCGCGAACGGAGCGGCCGAUGGCAGAUUAGGUAGUUGGUGGGGUAAAGGCUUACCAAGCCUACGAUCUGUAGCUGGUCUGAGAGGACGACCAGCCACACUGGGACUGAGACACGGCCCAGACUCCUACGGGAGGCAGCAGUGGGGAAUUUUGGACAAUGGGCGCAAGCCUGAUCCAGCCAUGCCGCGUGCAGGAUGAAGGCCUUCGGGUUGUAAACUGCUUUUGUACGGAACGAAAAGCCUUCUUCUAAUACAGGAGGGUCAUGACGGUACCGUAAGAAUAAGCACCGGCUAACUACGUGCCAGCAGCCGCGGUAAUACGUAGGGUGCAAGCGUUAAUCGGAAUUACUGGGCGUAAAGCGUGCGCAGGCGGUAAUGUAAGACAGAUGUGAAAUCCCCGGGCUCAACCUGGGAACUGCAUUUGUGACUGCAUUGCUGGAGUGCGGCAGAGGGGGAUGGAAUUCCGCGUGUAGCAGUGAAAUGCGUAGAUAUGCGGAGGAACACCGAUGGCGAAGGCAAUCCCCUGGGCCUGCACUGACGCUCAUGCACGAAAGCGUGGGGAGCAAACAGGAUUAGAUACCCUGGUAGUCCACGCCCUAAACGAUGUCAACUGGUUGUUGGGUCUUCACUGACUCAGUAACGAAGCUAACGCGUGAAGUUGACCGCCUGGGGAGUACGGCCGCAAGGUUGAAACUCAAGGAAUUUGACGGGGACCCGCACAGCGGUGGAUGAUGUGGUUUAAUUCGAUGCAACGCGAAAAACCUUACCCACCUUUGACAUGUACGGGAAUCCUUUAGAGAUAGAGAGGUGCUCGAAAGAGAGCCGUAACCACAGGUGGCUGCAUGGCUGUCGUCAGCUCGUGUCGUGAAGAUGUUGGGUUAAGUCCGCACGAGCGCACCCUUGCAUUAGUGCUACGAAGGCACUCUAAUGGGAACUGCCGUGACACGAGAAAGUGGAUGACGUCAGGUCUCAUGGGCCUAUAUAUGUCUGCG
RNAcentral lists this ribosomal RNA (1170 nucleotides) under Acidovorax sp. Its description in RNAcentral is "bacterial SSU rRNA". It matches the Rfam family "Bacterial small subunit ribosomal RNA", at positions 37 to 1214 of the family's 1533-position model. Lineage: Bacteria; Pseudomonadati; Pseudomonadota; Betaproteobacteria; Burkholderiales; Comamonadaceae. The record is from RNAcentral.